GUAGGUGAACCUGCGGAGGGAUCAUUAAUCGUAACACGGACUCGGCGCGGACUUCGGUCCCCGAGGAAAUGUCACACCCUUUGUUGUCCGACCACGUUGCCUCGGGGGUGACCCUGCCUUCGGGCUCGGUCCCCCCGGCGGACCAAACCAAACUCUUGCGUAAACUUGCAGUCUGAGUGAUUUAAUAAAUAAAUCAAAACUUUCAACAACGGAUCUCUUGGUUCUGGCAUCGAUGAAGAACGCAGCAUCU
RNAcentral lists this unclassified non-coding RNA (250 nucleotides) under plant metagenome. Its description in RNAcentral is "partial contains small subunit ribosomal RNA, internal transcribed spacer 1, and 5.8S ribosomal RNA". The stretch from base 198 to 250 matches the Rfam family "5.8S ribosomal RNA", at positions 1 to 53 of the family's 154-position model. The record is from RNAcentral.